Molecule: long non-coding RNA, 1491 nt
Organism: Camelus dromedarius (Arabian camel)
Lineage: Eukaryota; Metazoa; Chordata; Mammalia; Artiodactyla; Camelidae
Exons: 3
Source: RefSeq, a predicted model, not a curated record
GCCCCUGUACUCCGACUGCGUAGGCGCUCACUUAGGAGCCCCGGAGCCUCGCGGUUGGUGAAGCAGCUUCCCCGGUGAACGCAGGUAUCUCCUCUUUUUCUCCGAACCGUGUCUUUUGGGAGGCAACCCACAGUCUUGACUGAAGCGGAAAAACCAUGAUGGAAAUGAGCCAAUAUGGAUGGGCCAUUGCCUCUUGCCAGUGGCUUAGACCCAGGCUUGUGACUCAAUUAAGAUCAAAGAAAUGUGACAAGAAUUCUUCUGAGGGGCUUCACCAAGUGCUUUUCUUUGCUGAUCGAAAAAAACCAAAUAGGAAUAAAAAACUCCGUGCUGCUGCAGGAUGUUCUCUGAUCUAUCUGGGCUGCCUGGAACUCUGCAACCAUCGUGGAAUCAUGAAAAGAAGGAGCGGGAGGAUAAGCCAAUGUGCUGAAGAGGUCAGAGCUGAAAAUGGAAGGAACUAGGUCCUUUAUAUAGGAAACUGGAUUCCCACUGUCUGCUGAGCAACGUGUACCGGUAUGCAUGGCUGCCUGCCAGGAGAAUUCUGAAGGGUCUUCAGGUCAGCCUGAUACUGAUCUCACUUUUGUUUUGAUAACCAGAUUUUAAUAACCCUUAAAAACUUGUUGAAUGGAUGUGAUGGUUAGCCUUAUGUAUCAACUUAGCCAGCCUACAGUACUCAGUUGUUUAAUCCAACAUUUAUCUAGGUGUUGCUGUAAAAGUAUUUUGUACAUGGAGCUAAUAUUUAUAAUCAGUUGACUUUAAUUAGAUUAUCCUCAAUCAACUCCCUAAAAUCAAUCUCUCUUUCUCUCUCUCUCCAUGUAUUUAUAUAUAAUGUAUUGGUUGUUUCUCUGGACAACCCUCACUAAUAGAAAAUACAUAAGUAAGUAAUAAAGAUCUAUAAUAAAUCAUAGGAUAGGUAGCUUUAAUCUAAGGUUAAAAAGGAAAUCUUUGGGAUCACGCAUCUGUAAGAAUGAAAGCACUGUGGGGACUGCAAGUGAAACAGGUGAAGGGGGCCAAAAGGUAUAAACUUCGAUUUAUAAAAUGCAUAUGUAUGACCAGGACAUUAUGCUGUCCACCAGAAACUGACAUGGUAAACUGACUAUACUUCAAUUAAAAAAAAAGCAUCAGGAAACUCUCAGACUCCACUUAGAGAACCACUAAUUUGGUGCUCGUACUUGACCACAAAUGGAAUGUUUUAAUCCAUUUACCUGAAAGCACUUCAGAAUUAUCCUCAACAGUUUCAUAUUAAAAAAUUAGGCAAAUUCUGCGACGUGGAGCAGCUCAUCCCAACUCAGUUCAACGGCUAUGUGGUUCUUUGUACUGCGUGGUCUGCUCCAGUUUGUACAGACAUCUCUUAGGCCUGUUCUCAACCUCUUGCCCCUUUCCAGUAAGUCCCUUAGCUCCAGCUCCUCCCUCUUUCCCCUAACCCUCUUUCCCAGUAUCUUUUGGAUAUUUCAAUUUAGAUAUCUUCCUAUCAGACAUUCAACAGGCCUAAUG